This 221-nucleotide unclassified non-coding RNA is filed under the name uncultured fungus. RNAcentral's name for it is "sequence contains ITS1, 5.8S rRNA gene". The stretch from base 173 to 221 matches the Rfam family "5.8S ribosomal RNA", at positions 1 to 49 of the family's 154-position model. The record is from RNAcentral. Lineage: Eukaryota; Fungi.
UUUCCGUAGGUGAACCUGCGGAAGGAUCAUUAUCAAGUACAGCGGGCUUCGGCCCUGUCUGCACCCUUGUCUUUUGCGUACCGUAUGUUUCCUCGGCGGGCUUGCCUGCCGGUUGGACAUUAUCAAACCUUUUUGUAGUUGCAAUCAGCGUCAGAAACAAAACAAUAAUUACAACUUUCAACAACGGAUCUCUUGGUUCUGGCAUCGAUGAAGAACGCAGC